AUAUUGCACAAUGGGGGGAACCCUGAUGCAGCGACGCCGCGUGGGUGAAGGAGCGUUUCGGCGCGUAAAGCCCUAUCGGCAGGGAAGAAGGAGGACGGUACCUGACUAAGAAGCCACGGCUAACUACGUGCCCGCCGCCGCGGUAAUACGUAGGGGGCAAGCGUUAUCCGGAUUUCCUGGGUGUAAAGGGAGCGUAGACGGUGCAUAAAGUCUGAUGUGAAAGGUCGGGGCCCAACCCCGGGACUGCAUUGGAAACUGUUGAACUGGAGUACAGGAGAGGUAAGCGGAAUUCCUAGUGUAGCGGUGAAAUGCGUAGAUAUUAGGAGGAACACCAGUGGCGAAGGCGGCUUACUGGACUGUAACUGACGUUGAGGCUCGAAAGCGUGGGGAGCAAACAGG
RNAcentral lists this ribosomal RNA (399 nucleotides) under uncultured bacterium. RNAcentral's name for it is "bacterial SSU rRNA". It matches the Rfam family "Bacterial small subunit ribosomal RNA", at positions 361 to 776 of the family's 1533-position model. The record is from RNAcentral.